CCUACGGGAGGCAGCAGUGGGGAAUAUUGGACAAUGGGGGCAACCCUGAUCCAGCCAUGCCGCGUGUGUGAAGAAGGCCCUCGGGUUGUAAAGCACUUUCAGUGAGGAAGAACGCCUGGUGGUUAAUACCCAUCAGGAAAGACAUCACUCACAGAAGAAGCACCGGCUAACUCCGUGCCAGCAGCCGCGGUAAUACGGAGGGUGCGAGCGUGAAUCGGAAUUACUGGGCGUAAAGCGCGCGUAGGUGGCUUGAUAAGCCGGUUGUGAAAGCCCCGGGCUCAACCUGGGAACGGCAUCCGGAACUGUCAAGCUAGAGUGCAGGAGAGGAAGGUAGAAUUCCCGGUGUAGCGGUGAAAUGCGUAGAGAUCGGGAGGAAUACCAGUGGCGAAGGCGGCCUUCUGGACUGACACUGACACUGAGGUGCGAAAGCGUGGGUAGCAAACAGGAUUAGAUACCCGAGUAGUC
This 465-nucleotide ribosomal RNA is filed under the name Vreelandella stevensii. Its description in RNAcentral is "partial 16S ribosomal RNA". It matches the Rfam family "Bacterial small subunit ribosomal RNA", at positions 338 to 795 of the family's 1533-position model. The record is from RNAcentral. Lineage: Bacteria; Pseudomonadati; Pseudomonadota; Gammaproteobacteria; Oceanospirillales; Halomonadaceae.